Molecule: ribosomal RNA, 163 nt
Filed under: Lilium monadelphum
Lineage: Eukaryota; Viridiplantae; Streptophyta; Magnoliopsida; Liliales; Liliaceae
Description: 5.8S ribosomal RNA
Rfam family: 5.8S ribosomal RNA
About the family: 5.8S ribosomal RNA (5.8S rRNA) is a component of the large subunit of the eukaryotic ribosome. It is transcribed by RNA polymerase I as part of the 45S precursor that also contains 18S and 28S rRNA.
Source: RNAcentral
UAUACGACUCUCGGCAACGGAUAUCUCGGCUCUCGCAUCGAUGAAGAACGUAGCGAAAUGCGAUACUUGGUGUGAAUUGCAGAAUCCCGUGAACCAUCGAUCUUUGAACGCAAGUUGCGCCCGAGGCCUUUCGGUUGAGGGCACGCCUGCCUGGGCGUCACGC